GACGAACGCUGGCGGCGUGCUUAACACAUGCAAGUCGAACGGAAAGGCCCUGCUUUUGUGGGGUGCUCGAGUGGCGAACGGGUGAGUAACACGUGAGUAACCUGCCCUUGACUUUGGGAUAACUUCAGGAAACUGGGGCUAAUACCGGAUAGGAGCUCCUGCUGCAUGGUGGGGGUUGGAAAGUUUCGGCGGUUGGGGAUGGACUCGCGGCUUAUCAGCUUGUUGGUGGGGUAGUGGCUUACCAAGGCUUUGACGGGUAGCCGGCCUGAGAGGGUGACCGGCCACAUUGGGACUGAGAUACGGCCCAGACUCCUACGGGAGGCUGCGGUGGGGAAUAUGGCACAAUGGGCGGAAGCCUGAUGCAGCAACGCCGCGUGCGGGAUGACGGCCUGCGGGUUGUAAACCGCUUUCGCCUGUGACGAAGCGUGAGUGACGGUAAUGGGUAAAGAAGCACCGGCUAACUACGUG
RNAcentral lists this ribosomal RNA (468 nucleotides) under uncultured bacterium. RNAcentral describes it as "partial 16S ribosomal RNA". It matches the Rfam family "Bacterial small subunit ribosomal RNA", at positions 28 to 507 of the family's 1533-position model. The record is from RNAcentral.